Molecule: long non-coding RNA, 420 nt
Organism: Oncorhynchus tshawytscha (Chinook salmon)
Lineage: Eukaryota; Metazoa; Chordata; Actinopteri; Salmoniformes; Salmonidae
Exons: 2
Source: RefSeq, a predicted model, not a curated record
AAAUGAAAGAUACCCCACAAGCCAAUCGGGACCUUCUCUUGUGAAGCCCAGACGGAAGAGAGAGAACAAAGGCUGAACCUUAACUUCCAAUGCCCCGCCCCUCCACGCCACUCCGCCAACCACCAGGAUGCCCGGCAUCAGAACAUCCCAGGCAUUCCUGUGAUUGGCAGAUAGCAGGUUGAUUGGCAUGUCGGACCCCGCGAACACUGGGAACUGCGCUCUGCACAGUCAGCAGUGGCGGACAGUGAUCAGAUCUUUACUGAGCUGAUCCGCUCCAUUGAGAGAAGGAGCUCUGAGGUGAAGGAGCUGAUCAGAGCCCAAGAGAAGGCUCAAGUGAGUCAAGCUGAAGGACUCCUGGAGCAACUGAAGCAGGAGAUAGCUGAGCUGAGGAAGAGAAGCACUGAGCUGGAGCAGCUCUCA